ACCAUUCAGCAUCUCUGUAAUGCUUAGUUUCAGUUCUCAAACUAGUUUCUUCUCUCCAGAGAUAACAUCCUUGUUAACAGCAGUAUAUGGAGAUGAGAGACAACAGGCCUGAUUACCCACCCAGAACCCUACUGUCCUUCUGUAAGUUUGCGUACACACAGUCAAACCUUUACCUUUAUCUAAAAGUGCAAACUUUCAAUAAGUUAAAUGAAUAAAAGAUAUCAAACAAGAAUGCACUUUUUGUA
Gavialis gangeticus (Gharial) is the source of this 245-nucleotide long non-coding RNA. RefSeq lists it as uncharacterized. NCBI's taxonomy places the organism in Eukaryota, Metazoa, Chordata, Crocodylia, Gavialidae. The record is from RefSeq and is a predicted model, not a curated record. The transcript has 2 exons.